Molecule: long non-coding RNA, 374 nt
Organism: Cheilinus undulatus (humphead wrasse)
Lineage: Eukaryota; Metazoa; Chordata; Actinopteri; Labriformes; Labridae
Exons: 4
Source: RefSeq, a predicted model, not a curated record
GCUGAAUGGAAGAAACGUAGAUAUUGUUGUGAAGCCUCAGCAAGUUCUAGAAGUCUUGAAGGAGAUACUAAUGAUUGUGUAAAACAGGUUCUGGAUUGUUGUGGAAGACUUGCCACAUGUUAUACAGGCUGCCACCCUCCCCCACGGUACUGAGGAGACUGAUCACAGUUAAUCAUCAGUGCUCUCUACAAGAGACCUCCGGAGACUCCCCUCAGUGCCAGAGUUUUGCCUGCCACUCGCUAGUGUGCCUCCCUCACCGCUCCACCACAGCCCAGCCACAGCACUCUCUCCCCUUAACUCUCACUACUCUGGACCCGUGGAUUUCCCCCUCCCUCCUGCACAAUUCAGUGUUCAAUAAAUCUGUUAAAACUGGC